This 253-nucleotide ribosomal RNA is filed under the name uncultured bacterium. RNAcentral describes it as "partial 16S ribosomal RNA". It matches the Rfam family "Bacterial small subunit ribosomal RNA", at positions 524 to 776 of the family's 1533-position model. The record is from RNAcentral.
GACGGAGGGUGCAAGCGUUGUUCGGAAUCACUGGGCGUAAAGCGCGUGUAGGCGGUCCGAAAAGUCGAGUGUGAAAUCCCGAGGCUCAACCUCGGAAGUGCAUUCGAAACUCUCGGGCUUGAGUACGGGAGAGGGAAGCGGAAUUCCUGGUGUAGAGGUGAAAUUCGUAGAUAUCAGGAGGAACACCGGCGGCGAAGGCGGCUUCCUGGACCGAUACUGACGCUGAGACGCGAAAGCGUGGGGAGCAAACAGG